ACUCCUACGGGAGGCAGCAGUGGGGAAUAUUGCGCAAUGGGGGAAACCCUGACGCAGCAACGCCGCGUGAAUGAAGAAGGCCUUAGGGUUGUAAAGUUCUGUUUUCUGGGACGAUAAUGACGGUACCAGAGGAGGAAGCCACGGCUAACUACGUGCCAGCAGCCGCGGUAAUACGUAGGUGGCAAGCGUUGUCCGGAUUUACUGGGCGUAAAGGAUGCGUAGGCGGAUGUUUAAGUGAGAUGUGAAAUACCCGAGCUCAACUUGGGUGCUGCAUUUCAAACUGGAUAUCUAGAGUGCAGGAGAGGAAAGCGGAAUUCCUAGUGUAGCGGUGAAAUGCGUAGAGAUUAGGAAGAACACCAGUGGCGAAGGCGGCUUUCUGGACUGUAACUGACGCUGAGGCAUGAAAGCGUGGGGAGCAAACAGGAUUAGAUACCCUGGUAGCGAG
RNAcentral lists this ribosomal RNA (445 nucleotides) under uncultured bacterium. RNAcentral describes it as "bacterial SSU rRNA". It matches the Rfam family "Bacterial small subunit ribosomal RNA", at positions 335 to 797 of the family's 1533-position model. The record is from RNAcentral.